RNAcentral lists this transfer RNA (73 nucleotides) under Rhipicephalus microplus (southern cattle tick). RNAcentral describes it as "tRNA-Ile". It matches the Rfam family "tRNA". From Rfam's summary of the family: Transfer RNA (tRNA) molecules are approximately 80 nucleotides in length. Their secondary structure includes four short double-helical elements and three loops (D, anti-codon, and T loops). The record is from Rfam by way of RNAcentral. Lineage: Eukaryota; Metazoa; Arthropoda; Arachnida; Ixodida; Ixodidae.
GUGCUUGUGGUGUAGUGUUUAUCACACCCGCCUUAUGCGCGGAAGGCACCAGGUUCGAUCCCUGGCAGGCACG